GCACUCUCAUCAGCCAAAAAAACGUCCUAAGGGUUCCUUCAAGCUGGUUUUUCAUAAUUUUUGCACCAAAUCCGGAAAAUUCAAAUACGAAGCAAGAUCGAGGGAAAGAAAAAGUUUGGGAUUAGUAGAUUUUUUGUUACGAACAAGUAUCGAGAGUUAAGAGCUCGGAAGUCGGAUUUGGUCGGAGACACAUCACACUAUCAAUCUCGAGAUCUCGGUACAUAAAGGAACUUUAUUUUGGAAAUCAAUGGCAUGUAUAAGCUAGUAAAUUAGAUGUUAAUGUGAAAUGAAUGUAUGGUUAGCCAUUGGUAUGGCUAACAAAUUUUGGUUUUCGUAUGUGAUGAAAUUAUCUUAUGAAUAUGAUAAAUCUAUCUUGAAAAAAAAUUCCGGUAAAAUCUGGUAAUGCCUCAUACUCUAUUUCGGCGACGAAUACGGGUAGGGGGUAUUACAAUAUCAUUCACAUCAACAUCACUAAUAUGUCUCAUUUUCAACCCAACAUACAUAUAUAAGCAAAAUUAUAAUUAAUUAACAUUUACACAAGACAAACUUUGAUUAAAUCCACACAAACCCUAUACAUGCCAUAUA
Molecule: long non-coding RNA, 585 nt
Organism: Gossypium raimondii (Peruvian cotton)
Lineage: Eukaryota; Viridiplantae; Streptophyta; Magnoliopsida; Malvales; Malvaceae
Exons: 3
Source: RefSeq, a predicted model, not a curated record